RNAcentral lists this ribosomal RNA (252 nucleotides) under uncultured bacterium. RNAcentral's name for it is "partial 16S ribosomal RNA". It matches the Rfam family "Bacterial small subunit ribosomal RNA", at positions 524 to 776 of the family's 1533-position model. The record is from RNAcentral.
UACGGAGGAUGCAGGCGUUAUCCGGAUUUACUAGGUUUAAAGGGUGCGUAGGCGGAAGUUUAAGUCGAAGGUUAAAUCUCAUGGCUCAACCAUGACCCGCCUUCGAUACUGGAUUUCUUGAAUAUAGUUGAGGUAGGCGGAAUGUAUAGUGUAGCGGUGAAAUGCAUAGAUAUUAUACAGAACUCCAAUUGCGAAGGCAGCUUGCUAAACUAUGAUUGACGCUGAUGCACGAAAGCAUGGGUAGCGAACAGG